RNAcentral lists this ribosomal RNA (2247 nucleotides) under human gut metagenome. RNAcentral's name for it is "bacterial LSU rRNA". It matches the Rfam family "Bacterial large subunit ribosomal RNA", at positions 14 to 2352 of the family's 2925-position model. The record is from RNAcentral.
AGAGCGUAAGGGGAAUGCCUUGGCACCAGGAGCCGACGAAGGACGCAGCGAUCUGCGAAAAGCCACGGGGAGCCGAAAGCAGGCUUUGAUCCGUGGAUAUCCGAAUGGGGAAACCCGCAUGGUUAAUAGCCAUGCGACGUAUACUGAAUAAAUAGGUAUGCGUCGGGAACCGUCUGAACUGAAACAUCUAAGUAGGACGAGGAAAAGAAAUCAACCGAGAUUCCGUAAGUAGUGGCGAGCGAACACGGAAGAGGCCAAACCGAAGGUAGCAAUAUCUUCGGGGUACGGACAGUAAACGGCAUUGCGGUAUCUUAGCAGAAGUGCAUGGGACGGCACACCAUAGAGAGUGAUAGUCUCGUAAGCGAAAAGAGAAGGCAGCCAACUGUAUCCAGAGUACCGCCGGACACGUGAAACCCGGUGGGAACAUGGGGGGACCAUCCUCCAAGCCUAAAUACUCCCUGGUGACCGAUAGAGAACAGUACUGUGAAGGAAAGGUGAAAAGAACCCCGGGAGGGGAGUGAAAAGAACCUGAAACCUUAUGCUUACAAGCACCGAGAGCCCAUCAAAGGGUGAUCGGGUACCUUUUGUAGAAUGGUCCGGCGAGUGAAUGUAACUGGCAAGGUUAAGCACUUCAGGUGUGGAGCCGAAGCGAAAGCAAGUCUUAAUAGGGCGUCAAGUCAGUUGUAUUCGACCCGAAACCGUGUGACCUAGCCAUGAGCAGGCUGAAGUGGAGGUAAAACUCCAUGGAGGGCCGAACCCACUCCCGUUGAAAUGGUAGGGGAUGACUUGUGGCUAGCGGAGAAAUUCCAAUCGAACUCGGAGAUAGCUGGUUCUCUCCGAAAUAGCUUUAGGGCUAGCCUCGAUUUAACAUUACCGGAGGUAAAGCACUGAAUGGGCUAGGGGCCGAGAGGUUACUGAACCCUAUCAAACUAAGAAUGCCGGAUAAUGAUAAUCGGGAGUCAGACAGUGUGAGAUAAGUUUCAUUGUCAAAAGGGAAACAGCCCAGACCCACAGCUAAGGUCCCAAAGUACGGUUAAGUGGAAAAGGAUGUGGGGUUGCACAGACAACCAGGAUGUUGGCUUAGAAGCAGCCACUCAUUAAAAGAGUGCGUAAUAGCUCACUGGUCGAGUGACCCUGCGCCGAAAAUUCAACGGGGCUAAACAAUGUACCGAAGCUUGGGAUUCUAAAGUAAUUUAGAGUGGUAGGAGAGCGUCGAAUAAGGGGUGAAGUCAGAGCGGAAGCGCUGGUGGACUUUAUUCGAGUGAGAAUGCCGGAAUGAGUAGCGAGAAUUAUGUGAGAAUCAUAAUGGCCGAAAGACUAAGGUUUUAGAAGGAAGGUUCGUCCGCUUCUAGUCAGCCGGGAGCUAAGGCGAGGCCGAAAGGCGUAGUCGAUGCACAUACGGUGGAGAUUCCGUAGCCGCCAUUAAUUUAAACAGAGGGACACUUUCAAGUGGCAUGACCCGGGCGUUGGUAGACCCGGGCGUAAGGGACCGAAAAUUAGUAGGGAAGCAUGCUUUAAGGAAGGCGAGAAAAGCUCUGUGUAUAGAAGAUGGCGCCCGUACCGCAAACCGACACAGGUAGUCAGGAAGAGAAUUCUAAGGCCAACGGGAGAAGGGUAGUUAAGGAACUCGGCAAAUUGACCCCGUAACUUCGGAAUAAGGGGUGCUCACGAGAGUGAGCCGCAGUGAAUAGGUCCAGGCGACUGUUUAUCAAAAACACAGCUCUCUGCUAAAUCGAAAGAUGACGUAUAGGGGGUGACACCUGCCCGGUGCUGGAAGGUUAAGAGGAAGGGUGCAAGCUCUGAAUUGAAGCCCCAGUAAACGGCGGCCGUAACUAUAACGGUCCUAAGGUAGCGAAAUUCCUUGUCGGGUAAGUUCCGACCCGCACGAAUGGUGUAACGAUCUGGGCACUGUCUCAACUACCCACCCGGCGAAAUUGUAGUACCGGUGAAGAUGCCGGUUACCCGCGGCAAGACGGAAAGACCCCAUGGAGCUUUACUGUAACCUGAUAUUGGGUUUCGGUAUUUUAUGUACAGGAUAGGUGGGAGACUAUGAAACUAAGGCGCCAGCCUUAGCGGAGUCGCCCUUGGGAUACCACUCUUAAAGUACUGAAAUUCUAACCUGCGGCCGUGAAUCCGGUCGGGGGACAUUGUCAGGCGGGCAGUUUGACUGGGGCGGUCGCCUCCAAAAGAGUAACGGAGGCGCUCAAAGGUUCGCUCAGCAUGGUCGGAAACCAUGCCUUAGAGUGU